This 200-nucleotide ribosomal RNA is filed under the name uncultured bacterium. Its description in RNAcentral is "partial 16S ribosomal RNA". It matches the Rfam family "Bacterial small subunit ribosomal RNA", at positions 8 to 228 of the family's 1533-position model. The record is from RNAcentral.
AGAGUUUGAUCAUGGCUCAGAAUCAACGCUGGCGGCAUGCCUAAUACAUGCAAGUCGAACGCGUGUAGCAAUACACGAGUGGCGGACGGGUGAGUAACGCGUGGGAACCUGCCCUUGAGUGCGGGAUAACCGAGGGAAACUUCGGCUAAUACCGCAUGAGCCCGGAGCAAUCCGGGGAAAGAUUUAUCGCUCGAGGAGGG